UCUCAUAUUUCAGACCUCAUAAGUAUCUUGCAAUGGUUUGCUCUUCCGGUUCCAUAAGCUCUCCUUUUAACAUCAGAUUAUCGAAUUCUGCAGUGUACUCCUCCACACUAAGAUCUUUUUGCUUGAAAUUAUGAAUUUUAAGAAAGAUCUCUUGCCUAUAAUUGUGAGGUAAAUAUUUUCUUUUCAGCUCCCUUUUCAUUUUUUCCCAUGUCACGAUUUUACUCUU
Molecule: long non-coding RNA, 226 nt
Filed under: Musa acuminata (dwarf banana)
Lineage: Eukaryota; Viridiplantae; Streptophyta; Magnoliopsida; Zingiberales; Musaceae
Description: long non-coding RNA (MACU_LNC004366)
Source: RNAcentral